Molecule: ribosomal RNA, 468 nt
Filed under: uncultured bacterium
Lineage: Bacteria
Description: partial 16S ribosomal RNA
Rfam family: Bacterial small subunit ribosomal RNA
Source: RNAcentral
GAUGAACGCUGGCGGCGUGCUUAACACAUGCAAGUCGAACGGAAAGGCCCAAGCUUGCUUGGCUCUUCGAUUGGCAACCGGGUGAUUAACCCUUGGGUGAUCUGCCUUUCCCUUCGGGUUAAGCUUGGGAAACUGGGUCUAUUCCCGCAUAGGACUUGGUUUUGUUUGCCUUUUUGGAAAGGUUUUUGGUUGUGGGUUGAGGUCGCGGCCUUUCAGUUUUUUGUCGGGGUAUUGGCUUACCAAGGCGUCACCGGGGAGCCGCCUUGAGAGGGUGUACGGCCACAUUGGGAAUGAGAUACGGGCCAGACUCCUACGGGAGGCAGCAGUGGGGAAUAUGGAACAAUGGGCGCAAGCCUGAUGCAGCGACGCCGCGUGGGGGAUGACGGCCUUCGGGUUGUAGACUCCUUUCGCUAGGGACGAAGCGUUUUUGUGACGGUACCUGGAGAAGAAGCACCGGCUAACUACGUG